This 460-nucleotide ribosomal RNA is filed under the name uncultured bacterium. RNAcentral's name for it is "SSU rRNA". It matches the Rfam family "Bacterial small subunit ribosomal RNA", at positions 26 to 518 of the family's 1533-position model. The record is from RNAcentral.
AGAAUCAACGCUGGCGGCGUGCCUAACACAUGCAAGUCGAACGAGAAAGUGGAGCAAUCCAUGAGUAAAGUGGCGCACGGGUGAGUAACACGUGACUAACCUACCCUUGAGUGGGGGAUAACUGAGGGAAACCUUAGCUAAUACCGCAUAAUACCUACGGGUCAAAGGAGCAAUUCGCUUAAGGAGGGGGUCGCGGCAGAUUAGCUAGUUGGCGGGGUAAUGGCCCACCAAGGCAGUGAUCUGUAUCCGGCCUGAGAGGGCGCACGGACACACUGGAACUGAAACACGGUCCAGACUCCUACGGGAGGCAGCAGUGGGGAAUUUUGCGCAAUGGGGGAAACCCUGACGCAGCAACGCCGCGUGGAGGAUGAAGUCCCUUGGGACGUAAACUCCUUUCGACCGGGACGAUAAUGACGGUACCGGAAGAAGAAGCCCCGGCUAACUUCGUGCCAGCAGCCGC